UGCCGCGUGCGGGAAGAAGGCCUUCGGGUUGUAAACCGCUUUUGUCAGGGAAGAAAUCCUUUGAGUUAAUACCUCGGGGGGAUGACGGUACCUGAAGAAUAAGCACCGGCUAACUACGUGCCAGCAGCCGCGGUAAUACGUAGGGUGCAAGCGUUAAUCGGAAUUACUGGGCGUAAAGCGUGCGCAGGCGGUUAUAUAAGACAGAGGUGAAAUCCCCGGGCUCAACCUGGGAACUGCCUUUGUGACUGUAUAGCUUGAGUGCGGCAGAGGGGGAUGGAAUUCCGCGUGUAGCAGUGAAAUGCGUAGAUAUGCGGAGGAACACCGAUGGCGAAGGCAAUCCCCUGGGCCUGCACUGACGCUCAUGCACGAAAGCGUGGGGAGCAAACAGGAUUAGAUACCCUGGUAGUCCACGCCCUAAACGAUGUCAACUGGUUGUUGGGAAGGUUCCUUCUCAGUAACGUAGCUA
This 466-nucleotide ribosomal RNA is filed under the name Ideonella sp. RNAcentral describes it as "bacterial SSU rRNA". It matches the Rfam family "Bacterial small subunit ribosomal RNA", at positions 395 to 854 of the family's 1533-position model. Lineage: Bacteria; Pseudomonadati; Pseudomonadota; Betaproteobacteria; Burkholderiales; Sphaerotilaceae. The record is from RNAcentral.